GAGCGGAUGACGGGAGCUUGCUCCUUGAUUCAGCGGCGGACGGGUGAGUAAUGCCUAGGAAUCUGCCUGGUAGUGGGGGACAACGUUUCGAAAGGAACGCUAAUACCGCAUACGUCCUACGGGAGAAAGCAGGGGACCUUCGGGCCUUGCGCUAUCAGAUGAGCCUAGGUCGGAUUAGCUAGUUGGUGGGGUAAUGGCUCACCAAGGCGACGAUCCGUAACUGGUCUGAGAGGAUGAUCAGUCACACUGGAACUGAGACACGGUCCAGACUCCUACGGGAGGCAGCAGUGGGGAAUAUUGGACAAUGGGCGAAAGCCUGAUCUAGCCAUGCCGCGUGUGUGAAGAAGGUCUUCGGAUUGUAAAGCACUUUAACUUGGGAGGAAGGGCAGUAAGCUAAUACCUUGCUGUUUUGACGUUACCGACAGAAUAAGCACCGGCUAACUCUGUG
Molecule: ribosomal RNA, 448 nt
Filed under: uncultured bacterium
Lineage: Bacteria
Description: bacterial SSU rRNA
Rfam family: Bacterial small subunit ribosomal RNA
Source: RNAcentral